GUUUCAUAAUUUAAUUAAAAUAUUAAUUUUGUAAAUUAAAGAUAUCUAUAUAUGAUUGAAACU
RNAcentral lists this transfer RNA (63 nucleotides) under Pheidole nodus. RNAcentral's name for it is "tRNA-Thr". The record is from RNAcentral. Lineage: Eukaryota; Metazoa; Arthropoda; Insecta; Hymenoptera; Formicidae.